This 466-nucleotide ribosomal RNA is filed under the name uncultured bacterium. Its description in RNAcentral is "bacterial SSU rRNA". It matches the Rfam family "Bacterial small subunit ribosomal RNA", at positions 338 to 795 of the family's 1533-position model. The record is from RNAcentral.
CCUACGGGGGGCAGCAGUCGAGAGGCUUCGGCAAUGGGGGAAACCCUGACCGAGCGACGCCGCGUGGGGGAUGAAGGCCCUUGGGUUGUAAACCCCUUUUAUUCGGGAAGAAAUGCGAUCAGGUGAAUAAUCUGGUCGUUUGACGGUACCGGAUGAAUAAGCUCCGGCUAACUCCGUGCCAGCAGCCGCGGUAACACGGGGGGAGCAAGCGUUGUUCGGAAUUACUGGGCGUAAAGGGCGUGUAGGCGGUCAGGUAAGNGGGAUGUGAAAUGCCCCGGCUCACCCGGGGACCGGCAUCUCAUACUGCUUGGCUUGAGUUCGGGAGAGGAUGUGGGAAUUCCUGGUGUAGCGGUGAAAUGCGUAGAUAUCAGGAGGAACACCGGUGGCGAAGGCGCACAUCUGGCCCGAUACUGACGCUGAGGCGCGAAAGCUAGGGGAGCGAACAGGAUUAGAUACCCGGGUANUC